ACCGGAUUGGUGAAAAGGAGAUCACACCUGGCUACGAACUAGGUGUUGGGGGUUCGAGUCCUCCAUCCGGUACCA
This 75-nucleotide transfer RNA is filed under the name Streptomyces phage WRightOn. RNAcentral describes it as "tRNA-Arg". It matches the Rfam family "tRNA". Rfam says of the family: Transfer RNA (tRNA) molecules are approximately 80 nucleotides in length. The record is from RNAcentral. Lineage: Duplodnaviria; Heunggongvirae; Uroviricota; Caudoviricetes. RNAcentral also lists the same sequence under 3 other names.